GAAAUGCGAAAAGUAAUGCGAAUUGCAGAAUUCAGCGAGUCAUCGAGUUUUUGAACGCACAUUGCGCCCGCCGGUAUUCCGGCGGGCAUGCCUGUCCGAGCGUCAUCUACACCCUCAAGCUCUGCUUGGUGUUGGGCGUCUGUCCCGCCUACGUGCGCGGACUCGCCCCAAAUUCAUUGGCAGCGGUCCUUGCCUCCUCUCGCGCAGCACAUUGCGCUUCUCGAGGUGCGCGGCCCGCGUCCACGAAGCAACAUUACCGUCUUUGACCUCGGAUCAGGUAGGGAUACCCGCUGAACUUAAGC
This 302-nucleotide unclassified non-coding RNA is filed under the name plant metagenome. RNAcentral describes it as "partial contains 5.8S ribosomal RNA, internal transcribed spacer 2, and large subunit ribosomal RNA". The stretch from base 1 to 105 matches the Rfam family "5.8S ribosomal RNA", at positions 50 to 154 of the family's 154-position model. The record is from RNAcentral.